This 404-nucleotide ribosomal RNA is filed under the name uncultured bacterium. RNAcentral's name for it is "bacterial SSU rRNA". It matches the Rfam family "Bacterial small subunit ribosomal RNA", at positions 355 to 776 of the family's 1533-position model. The record is from RNAcentral.
UAAGGAAUCUUCCACAAUGGGCGAAAGCCUGAUGGAGCAAUACCGCGUGAAGGAUGAAGCUUUUCGGAGUGUAAACUUCUUUUUAAUGGGAAGAUUAUGACGGUACCAUUUGAAUAAGCAUCGGCUAACUACGUGCCAGCAGCCGCGGUAAUACGUAGGAUGCAAGCGUUAUCCGGAAUUAUUGGGCGUAAAGAGUGUGUAGGUGGCACGUUAAGUUGAAUGUUAAAUCUCAGGGCUCAACUCUGGGGCUGCAUUCAAUACUGGCGAGCUCGAGGUAUGGAGAGGUAAGCGGAAUUAGUAGUGUAGCGGUGAAAUGCGUAGAUAUUACUAAGAACACCAAUGGCGAAGGCAGCUUACUGGCCAUAUCCUGACACUGAGACACGAAAGCGUGGGGAGCGAACAGG